AUACGUAGGGAGCGAGCGUUGUCCGGAAUUACUGGGUGUAAAGGGAGCGUAGGCGGGAGUGCAAGUCAGAUGUGAAAUACAUGGGCUCAACCCAUGGGCUGCAUUUGAAACUGCAUUUCUUGAGUGAAGUAGAGGUAAGCGGAAUUCCUGGUGUAGAGGUGAAAUGCGUAGAUAUCAGGAGGAACACCGGUGGCGAAGGCGGCUUACUGGGCUUUUACUGACGCUGAGGCUCGAAAGCGUGGGGAGCAAACAGGAUUAGAUACCCUGGUAGUCCACGCUGUAAACGAUGAUUACUAGGUGUGGGGGGACUGACCCCUUCCGUGCCGCAGUUAACACAAUAAGUAAUCCACCUGGGGAGUACGGCCGCAAGGUUGAAACUCAAAUGAAUCGGCGGGG
This 396-nucleotide ribosomal RNA is filed under the name uncultured bacterium. Its description in RNAcentral is "partial 16S ribosomal RNA". It matches the Rfam family "Bacterial small subunit ribosomal RNA", at positions 523 to 918 of the family's 1533-position model. The record is from RNAcentral.